This 447-nucleotide ribosomal RNA is filed under the name uncultured bacterium. Its description in RNAcentral is "bacterial SSU rRNA". It matches the Rfam family "Bacterial small subunit ribosomal RNA", at positions 329 to 793 of the family's 1533-position model. The record is from RNAcentral.
UUCCAGACUCCUACGGGAGGCAGCAGUGGGGAAUAUUGCACAAUGGGGGAAACCCUGAUGCAGCGACGCCGCGUGAGUGAAGAAGUAUCUCGGUAUGUAAAGCUCUAUCAGCAGGGAAGAAAAUGACGGUACCUGACUAAGAAGCCCCGGCUAACUACGUGCCAGCAGCCGCGGUAAUACGUAGGGGGCAAGCGUUAUCCGGAUUUACUGGGUGUAAAGGGGGCGCAGACGGCGAUGCAAGCCAGGAGUGAAAGCCCGGGGCCCAACCCCGGGACUGCUCUUGGAACUGCGUGGCUGGAGUGCAGGAGGGGCAGGCGGAAUUCCUGGUGUAGCGGUGAAAUGCGUAGAUAUCAGGAGGAACACCGGUGGCGAAGGCGGCCUGCUGGACUGCAACUGACGUUGAGGCCCGAAAGCGUGGGGAGCAAACAGGAUUAGAUACCCGCGUAU